GAUGAACGCUGGCGGCGUGCCUAAUACAUGCAAGUCGAGCGGUAAGGCCCUUCGGGGUACACGAGCGGCGGACGGCUGAGUAACGCGUAGGAACGUACCCUAAAGUGAGGGAUAAGCACCGGAAACGGUGUCUAAUACCGCAUGUGGUCUAAGGAUCAAAGCCUUCGGGCGCUUUGGGAGCGGCCUGCGUAUGAUUAGCUAGUUGGUGAGGUAAUGGCUCACCAAGACGACGAUCAUUAGCUGGUCUGAGAGGAUGAUCAGCCAGACUGGGACUGAGACACGGCCCAGACUCCUACGGGAGGCAGCAGUAGGGAAUUUUCCACAAUGGACGAAAGUCUGAUGGAGCAACGCCGCGUGCAGGAUGACGGCCUUCGGGUUGUAAACUGCUUUUAUGAGUGAUGAUUAUGACAGUAGCUCAAGAAUAAGGGUCGGCUAACUACGUGCCAGCCGCCGCCGUAA
Molecule: ribosomal RNA, 459 nt
Filed under: uncultured bacterium
Lineage: Bacteria
Description: partial 16S ribosomal RNA
Rfam family: Bacterial small subunit ribosomal RNA
Source: RNAcentral